RNAcentral lists this ribosomal RNA (469 nucleotides) under Sinorhizobium sp. AS011. RNAcentral describes it as "bacterial SSU rRNA". It matches the Rfam family "Bacterial small subunit ribosomal RNA", at positions 927 to 1399 of the family's 1533-position model. The record is from RNAcentral. Lineage: Bacteria; Pseudomonadati; Pseudomonadota; Alphaproteobacteria; Hyphomicrobiales; Rhizobiaceae.
AAGCGGGGGACUGGGUUAUUCGAGCAACGCGCAGAACCUUACCAGCCCUUGACAUCCCGGUCGCGGACAGGAGAGAUCCUGUCCUUCAGUUCGGCUGGACCGGUGACAGGUGCUGCAUGGCUGUCGUCAGCUCGUGUCGUGAGAUGUUGGGUUAAGUCCCGCAACGAGCGCAACCCUCGCCCUUAGUUGCCAGCAUUCAGUUGGGCACUCUAAGGGGACUGCCGGUGAUAAGCCGAGAGGAAGGUGGGGAUGACGUCAAGUCCUCAUGGCCCUUACGGGCUGGGCUACACACGUGCUACAAUGGUGGUGACAGUGGGCAGCGAGACCGCGAGGUCGAGCUAAUCUCCAAAAACCAUCUCAGUUCGGAUUGCACUCUGCAACUCGGGUGCAUGAAGUUGGAAUCGCUAGUAAUCGUGGAUCAGCAUGCCACGGUGAAUACGUUCCCGGGCCUUGUACACACCGCCCGUAA